UGGGGAAUAUUGGGCAAUGGGGCGGCAAGCCUGACCCAGCAACGCCGCGUGAAGGAAGAAGGCUUCGGUUGGUAAACUUACUUUUUAAGUAGGGAAGGAAGGC
This 103-nucleotide ribosomal RNA is filed under the name uncultured bacterium. RNAcentral describes it as "partial 16S ribosomal RNA". The record is from RNAcentral.